Molecule: ribosomal RNA, 301 nt
Filed under: uncultured bacterium
Lineage: Bacteria
Description: partial 16S ribosomal RNA
Rfam family: Bacterial small subunit ribosomal RNA
Source: RNAcentral
CAGCAGCCGCGGUAAUACGUAGGGUGCGAGCGUUAAUCGGAAUUACUGGGCGUAAAGCGUGCGCAGGCGGUUUGUUAAGACAGAUGUGAAAUCCCCGGGCUCAACCUGGGAACUGCAUUUGUGACUGGCAAGCUAGAGUGUGGCAGAGGGGGGUGGAAUUCCGCGUGUAGCAGUGAAAUGCGUAGAUAUGCGGAGGAACACCGAUGGCGAAGGCAGCCCCCUGGGCCAACACUGACGCUCAUGCACGAAAGCGUGGGGAGCAAACAGGAUUAGAUACCCCCGUAGUCCCUGUCUCUUAUAC